Molecule: ribosomal RNA, 119 nt
Filed under: Pteropus alecto (black flying fox)
Lineage: Eukaryota; Metazoa; Chordata; Mammalia; Chiroptera; Pteropodidae
Source: RNAcentral
GUCUAUGGCCAUGCCACCCUGAACAUGCCCUAUCUUGUCAAAUCCCGGAAGCUAAGCAGGGUCAGGCUUGGUUAGUACUUGGAUGGGAGACCACAUAGGAAUACUAGAUGCUGUAGGCG